RNAcentral lists this ribosomal RNA (497 nucleotides) under uncultured bacterium. RNAcentral's name for it is "partial 16S ribosomal RNA". It matches the Rfam family "Bacterial small subunit ribosomal RNA", at positions 28 to 507 of the family's 1533-position model. The record is from RNAcentral.
GACGAACGCUGGCGGCGUGCCUAAUACAUGCAAGUUGAGCGCUGAAGGUUGGUACUUGUACCAACUGGAUGAGCAGCGAACGGGUGAGUAACGCGUGGGGAAUCUGCCUUUGAGCGGGGGACAACAUUUGGAAACGAAUGCUAAUACCGCAUAAAAACUUUAAACACAAGUUUUAAGUUUGAAAGAUGCAAUUGCAUCACUCAAAGAUGAUCCCGCGUUGUAUUAGCUAGUUGGUGAGGUAAAGGCUCACCAAGGCGAUGAUACAUAGCCGACCUGAGAGGGUGAUCGGCCAAAUUGGGACUGAGACACGGCCCAAACUCCUACGGGAGGCAGCAGUAGGGAAUCUUCGGCAAUGGACGAAAGUCUGACCGAGCAACGCCGCGUGAGGGAAGAAGGUUUUCGGAUCGUAAAACUCUGUUGGUAGAGAAGAACGUUGGUGAGAGUGGAAAGCUCAUCAAGUGACGGUAACUACCCAGAAAGGGACGGCUAACUACGUG